Small nucleolar RNA from Tupaia belangeri (northern tree shrew), 136 nucleotides. Its record names the gene SNORA70. It matches the Rfam family "Small nucleolar RNA SNORA70". Rfam says of the family: snoRNA U70 seems to be exclusive to mammals and is a member of the H/ACA class of snoRNA which contain H (ANANNA) and ACA box motifs. Lineage: Eukaryota; Metazoa; Chordata; Mammalia; Scandentia; Tupaiidae. The record is from Ensembl.
CUGCAGCCAAUUAAGCCGACUGUGCCCCUUUAACUCAUGGGGGCCCGGUGUGCAGUGGCUGCAAACAGCAGCCUCCUGGGUAGUGUAUACAGCCUGUUGUUUGUACGGGUUGAUCUAAGGGACCUUGGAGACAGCC